GAUGAACGCUGGCGGCGUGCUUAACACAUGCAAGUCGAGCGAGUGAGUUCUUCGGAACGAUCUAGCGGCGGACGGGUGAGUAACACGUGGGCAACCUGCCUCAUAGAGGGGAAUAGCCUCCCGAAAGGGAGAUUAAUACCGCAUAACAUCGUUGAAGGGCAUCCUUCGAUGAUCAAAGGAGCAAUCCGCUAUGAGAUGGGCCCGCGGCGCAUUAGCUAGUUGGUGAGGUAACGGCUCACCAAGGCGACGAUGCGUAGCCGCCCUGAGAGGGUGAUCGGCCACAUAGGGACUGAGACACGGCCCAGACUCCUACGGGAGGCAGCAGUGGGGAAUAUUGCACAAUGGGGGAAACCCUGAUGCAGCAACGCCGCGUGAGUGAUGACGGCCUUCGGGUUGUAAAGCUCUGUCUUUGGGGACGAUAAUGACGGUACCCAAGGAGGAAGUCACGGCUAACUACGUGCCAGCAGCCGCGGUAA
This 476-nucleotide ribosomal RNA is filed under the name uncultured bacterium. RNAcentral describes it as "partial 16S ribosomal RNA". It matches the Rfam family "Bacterial small subunit ribosomal RNA", at positions 28 to 523 of the family's 1533-position model. The record is from RNAcentral.